GGGUUGUGAGGUUAAGCGACUAAGCGUACACGGUGGAUGCCCUGGCAGUCAGAGGCGAUGAAGGACGUGCUAAUCUGCGAAAAGCGUCGGUAAGGUGAUAUGAACCGUUACAGCCGGCGAUGUCCGAAUGGGGAAACCCAGUGCAAUUCGUUGCACUAUCGUUAACUGAAUACAUAGGUUAACGAGGCGAACCGGGGGAACUGAAACAUCUAAGUACCCCGAGGAAAAGAAAUCAACCGAGAUUCCCCCAGUAGCGGCGAGCGAACGGGGAGCAGCCCGGAGUCUGAAUCAGCUUGUGUGUUAGUGGAAGCGUCUGGAAAGUCGCAGGGUACAGGGUGAUACUCCCGUACACUAAAGCACACAGGCUGUGAACUCGAAGAGUAGGGCGGGACACGUGGUAUCCUGUCUGAAUAUGGGGGGACCAUCCUCCAAGGCUAAAUACUCCUGACUGACCGAUAGUGAACCAGUACCGUGAGGGAAAGGCGAAAAGAACCCCGGCGAGGGGAGUGAAAAAGAACCUGAAACCGUGUACGUACAAGCAGUAGGAGCCCACUGGUUGGGUGACUGCGUACCUUUUGUAUAAUGGGUCAGCGACUUAUAUUCUGUAGCAAGGUUAACCGUAUAGGGGAGCCGCAGGGAAACCGAGUCUUAACUGGGCGUUAAGUUGCAGGGUAUAGACCCGAAA
RNAcentral lists this ribosomal RNA (685 nucleotides) under Klebsiella michiganensis. RNAcentral describes it as "partial 23S ribosomal RNA". It matches the Rfam family "Bacterial large subunit ribosomal RNA", at positions 1 to 720 of the family's 2925-position model. The record is from RNAcentral. Lineage: Bacteria; Pseudomonadati; Pseudomonadota; Gammaproteobacteria; Enterobacterales; Enterobacteriaceae.